Molecule: unclassified non-coding RNA, 259 nt
Organism: Spermophilus dauricus (Daurian ground squirrel)
Lineage: Eukaryota; Metazoa; Chordata; Mammalia; Rodentia; Sciuridae
Gene: 7SK
Rfam family: 7SK RNA
About the family: 7SK was discovered as an abundant small nuclear RNA in the mid-70s but a possible function has only recently been suggested. Two independent studies have found that 7SK RNA binds the CDK9/cyclin T complex (known as elongation factor P-TEFb).
Source: Ensembl
GGAUGUGAGGGUGAUUUGGCUGCCAUGUCUGUCACCCCAUUGAUUGCCUGGGUUGAUUUGGAUGAUCAGGCUGGCUGGUCGAGUGUCCCCUUCCUUCCUCGCCAGUCCAUGUGUGUCCCUCCCAAAGCUGCACACUGGAUCAAAGAGGAAGAGUUGUAAACCUAGGCUACAGAGUUCCUGUACGUCCACCCUCAAAGUACAUAUGUAACAAAACCAGGUUAAGAAUAAGAAUCAAUGAAGUUAACAUUGGUUCAAUUCU